Molecule: small RNA, 67 nt
Filed under: Xanthomonas vasicola
Lineage: Bacteria; Pseudomonadati; Pseudomonadota; Gammaproteobacteria; Lysobacterales; Lysobacteraceae
Description: sX9 sRNA
Rfam family: Xanthomonas sRNA sX9
Source: RNAcentral
AUGUACCACUCGUACACUCCGGUUCCUGUGCGCCGUCCGCACCCACCUGACGACUGCUGCGUGUGCC